CGGCGAGUGAAGCGGGAAGAGCUCAAGCUUAAAAUCUCCGUGCAAGUUUUGUGCGGCGAAUUGUAGUCUAUAGAGGCGUGGUCAGCGUGGGCGCUUGGGGCAAGUUCCUUGGAAGAGGACAGCAUGGAGGGUGAUACUCCCGUUCAUCCCUGAGUGGCUCGUGCGUACGACCCGUUUUCUUUGAGUCGCGUUGUUUGGGAAUGCAGCGCAAAGUAGGUGGUAAAUUCCAUCUAAAGCUAAAUAUUGGUGCGAGACCGAUAGCGAACAAGUACCGUGAGGGAAAGAUGAAAAGAACUUUGAAAAGAGAGUUAAAGAGUACCUGAAACUGCUGAAAGGGAACCGAAUCGUUUCCAGUGUCUAUAAUCUGUGGCAUAUUUCAUUGGCGAGCGUUUGCGUGCGUGUGCUGUGGCAGUGGCUUUUUUGGCUGCGCCUGGUGUGUGUGGUGUGAGUGUUUGCUGGUGCCCUGUGCUGCGGUGGGACGUCAAGGUCAGUUCGUAUGCUGCGGGAAAUGGCUGCCGAGGAGGUAGGGCUUACGCUCCGCGUUUGUCUGUUAUAUCUUGGUGGACGAGUCGUCGCGGUUGGGACUGAGGUGCCUACAACGUGCUUUUGAGUGGGUUUGUGUCUCCGUGUGCGCCGUGUGCGGAUAGCUUGCU
This 653-nucleotide ribosomal RNA is filed under the name Phytophthora colocasiae. RNAcentral describes it as "eukaryotic LSU rRNA". It matches the Rfam family "Eukaryotic large subunit ribosomal RNA", at positions 87 to 611 of the family's 3401-position model. The record is from RNAcentral. Lineage: Eukaryota; Oomycota; Peronosporomycetes; Peronosporales; Peronosporaceae.